This is a long non-coding RNA of Bombus pyrosoma, 3660 nucleotides long. RefSeq lists it as uncharacterized. Lineage: Eukaryota; Metazoa; Arthropoda; Insecta; Hymenoptera; Apidae. The record is from RefSeq and is a predicted model, not a curated record. The transcript has 4 exons.
UAACUGCAAUUCAUCUUUCAUUAUUGAAUAUAUCAUCCAUCCACAUUUCUGCUUCAUUUACACGUCUCACACUUUAAGGAACACACAUUUAUCCAGUUUGAAAGAAUUGUAACAAAACGGAACAAAUAGCAACAGAAUGAUCCAAACAUCGCGGUACGAAAAAAAUGUACAUGCCGAACGCCUGAUUCCACGGUUACCGCCUUUUUGCAUCGUGACGUCACGCAACUAACGAAUAGAAGCGUAGAUGCGAGAUAUCGUUAGCUCGAUUCCACGCUCGAUUCCCAUGGUUGGUAGAUAAAUUCGCGUCAUUAGAGGUUAAUGGAUAAAUUCACGUGUCUUAUUGGAAACUUUUUUUUAUCAUCGGAUUAUUGUGUGCUAAUAAACGAGCAGCAUCAAUCAUCGUUAGUGAAAUGAAACGGACGAAUGCACACACGGAAACAUAUAAACGGAUAACAUCGGAAUCCUAAGCUUUCUGGAGAUCUUCCGUAGCCAAAUACAACGACGACGACGCGACAACAUGCUCUGGGAGUUCGGAGGUCUGUUUACACGAGUUCGCAAAUAUAGCCAUAGGUAUCGGAGCCAACCGAAGCGAAGAAUUGAUAAAUUAGUUAUUCCGUCAGUCGUCUGCUGCUGUUCCUCCAGGAACGAAGAACUACAGGUCUUGUGACGAUCUAAUGUUGCAGAAUCAAAAAGUAUAUUUUGAAAUGAUAAUAAACUGACAUAAUUUGAUGUAAUACAUGUAAUCUGAUACAUGUCAGAUGUUAGAGAUUAUACAAGGUUAUAAAUUAUUCGGAAAAGCUUUAAUAGUGGGCGUAGCUGGCGCGUUUAUCAUCGGAUAACAGUUCCGGAGUAUAUCCUUUGAAUGUAACUCUACUCUUGGGCAAACAAGACUAAGGGUUAUGACCAUUCUCGUUUGUCUUUGCAUCCAGAGAAUCUUCGCGCGAAAUCCCUAGCCAGGACCCAAUUAACUCUCUAAGAAUUCGAUCGUAUCCCAUGGUAAUUCUAAGAUAGUACGACUCUAACAGCAGAUUAGAAAAGACAAUAUUUGCUUCGGUGCUUCUGCGUCUAAUCGCAGAUGCGCCUUCACUUAAUAUCGCUUACUAUUUGUCUUCCUUUACAAUGGAAAUUUGCGACGUGGGUAUUACACAGAUAGAACAAAAAUCGAGGGUCACGUCCAAAAUGGCCGACAUCUCAUGCGAACUGCAACGCUUCUAAGAAUCCUUCGUCUCUGACCACAGAAACCCGUAUCCGCAUCGACGACGGUUUGAAUUGAAGAUUUUUGCGGACGGUAACUCGUUGGCUCACGCGCUAACGUAUUUGCAAGAUCCGCUGCGCUGAUGGACAUAUAAUGCGACGUGUGAUUGUAGGCCCGCCAAUCGCGGCCGAUUGUGCCUCUGAAGGCCCGCUAACUAUCUCAAACUAGCCCCAUUCAAACCGCCACGACCUCUCUCUAGCCGUCUCUAUCUACCAACCCAGCCUCUGUGUCUCGCUCGUUCCAACCCUCAUUCACCGCCACCCUCCCCCUGGUACCCGUGUGUCUCGUUCAUCACCAAACUUCGCCUCUCUGUUGCUCUCAACUCGCGUCUCGUUUGCACCGAUUUCACAGGACGAUUUUCCCUCCUACUCGGUGAAAACUCGGUCCUCAUUCGCCGUUCGAAUUCGACGUACGUUUCUUGCCGCACGUUUCUUCUGCACGCCCUGUAUCCUUCUCUAAUUUUCGACCGGCUCUCUCGCCACACACGUAAUCUUCUAUUUCAUUCGCUUUACCUUUCCUAAUGUGAUAGCUCGCUCCAUACACAUACAGUCGUAGCCUCAUCUCUUUUCAAUCUCACCUCGCGGAUCGAAUGUUUUGCCUUCCAUUUAACAUCCUUUAUCUCGCUCCCUCUAUUCAACUCUCUCAAAAAAAGUUUUUCUCUUCGAGGUUCUGGCGAUUCCAUUCGCCCCGUUAUCUGGCCCUCCGUCCAUCUAAUGUUUCCACUUUCUUUUCAUCCGUUAAAUCGUGCAUCUCGUUUAACUCGACUUCCGUCGUUUUCUAUUUCGCAAAUUCAUACAUUCUCGUCUCUAGCCAUUCCUUUUAAGAAUGUAAGCCCUACAUGCACUUUCUUCCCUGCUCCACCGUCACCGCUUCUCACUCGUUUGAUUUUCGCGUUCUUUUUCUCGACUAUGCAGCACUGCUUCAUUUUCCCCCCUUCUUAAAUCUAUGUUCUCUCUCACUUUCGUCCGUCUUUUUCUCCCUCCCUCUCUCUCUCUCUCUCUCUCUCUACCCUUUCGAACCGCAACCAACUACCUCUCCUCUUUCAACCUAUUCCCUCGACGUACCUUAUCUCUAUUCUCGGUCUCUGUUCGACCUGCUUCAUUCAUCGACACAAUCACGCAUGGUUACGUAGGUACAUUCCGCUAGGCGUCACCGAGUAUUCGUCCCGAUUCGAAUUCUCGACCCUAUAUAACCGUGGCACGUUCUACGUGGGAAUUUCAAAUCUAUCAGCGACCCAGACGAAUGCAAAUCGCGCAUGAAGCGCGCUUAAUAAAGCCUCGCACGCGGCCCGCAACUCGCAAUUUUCUUUUCGACGCUACGUGUCGCACGCUUCUCUUAAUGAAACCUUCGCAUGCACCGUGCGCAAUUCGCGGCUACGCUCCCAUUCAACACGCAUCUCCGUCCCGCGAUACCGUUAGAAAAAGAACGCACUCGGGAUCGUUAAGCUUCGGCCCAGGGGAGAGAACGAGGGCCAUUUCAACUCCCUUGUAGAAAGAGAUCCGUUCAUAAGAAUACAAGUUCCAUAGAAUAAAAGUUUUCUAGUAAAUCACGGAAAUUCUAUUGUCUAAUAAACUUUAUGGAUGUCGCAUAAAUAAAAUGAAAUACUUAAGAACUAUUUCCUUUUAUUCCCAUUAUAAAUAGAAGACUUUAUAUUACGAAACUUCUAUUUUGCUUCUAUCUUUAAUGGUCAAGUUCAAAGCGAUAACAUUUAUAGGAGCUUCCCACAAAAUGGUCUCUAUCAAGCUUAAACUUUUGACUUACUUUCGUCAAGAAAUCGCUUCUCGUACCAUUGCGUCAUAAAUUUAUCCCCACCACCCUGAGAACGUACACCGAUGAACCGUUCCUCUUUCCAAUAAAUUCUUCUCGAAUCACCUGUCGUCAUUUCGUCCAGCUUUCAAGCGAUUCCGACCAAUCGUGAGACACGCCUCAAAGCGUCAGUGCAAAAAUUGUGACGAUAUCGUCACAGCGGAUAUCGAUCUUGACGAUCAGCGUCAGGAACAAUAUCGAGCUGGAGGAGGAUGUCGCUUUUGACCGGGCGUAUUUCGACCAGGCGAAAAUUGAAUUUCGAGGAAGCCGAGUCAAGAGAUAAGCAUGGAGAAGCGUACCAGCUAUUUGCGUGGCCUUAAUAAGGACGUUUGACGGCGUUAGCUUUCCCUUAACAAGACGGCUAAUAUCCCGGGGCCUUGGCUCCCCUUGGUCUACCUUCUCUGUCCUUCCCUCUGUUCCUUCGUCUCCCUUUCUCCAUCGACUCGCUCGCCUUCCGCACAGCGGACACCGUCGGGAAUCACCAAAGCUUGAAAACCGAACAAACUCAGUUAGAGAACUCGGUGUGAGGAGCAACCGGACCUGCCGGCAAAACUCAUCCUUCUCCGCAUCCACGAUUCUCUUACGCAGCUUGCCACGUU